This 812-nucleotide ribosomal RNA is filed under the name alpha proteobacterium SCGC AAA208-K16. Its description in RNAcentral is "bacterial SSU rRNA". It matches the Rfam family "Bacterial small subunit ribosomal RNA", at positions 31 to 892 of the family's 1533-position model. The record is from RNAcentral. Lineage: Bacteria; Pseudomonadati; Pseudomonadota; Alphaproteobacteria.
GUACGCUGGCGGCACGCCUAACACAUGCAAGUCGAACGCAGUAGCAAUACUGAGUGGCAGACGGGUGAGUAACAUGUGGGAAUCUGCCUUGUGGUUCAGGACAACAUUGGGAAACCGAUGCUAAUACUGGAUAAGCCCUUACGGGGAAAGUUUUAAUGCCAUAAGAUGAGCCCGCAUUUGAUUAGUUAGUUGGUGAGGUAAUGGCUCACCAAGACAAUGAUCAAUAGCUGAUCUGAGAGGAUGAUCAGCCACACUGGGACUGAGACACGGCCCAGACUCCUACGGGAGGCAGCAGUGGGGAAUCUUGCACAAUGGAGGAAACUCUGAUGCAGCGAUGCCGCGUGAGUGAAGAAGGCCUUUGGGUUGUAAAGCUCUUUUGUAGGGGAAGAUAAUGACUGUACCCUAAGAAUAAGGUCCGGCUAACUUCGUGCCAGCAGCCGCGGUAAUACGAAGGGACCUAGCGUAGUUCGGAAUUACUGGGCGUAAAGCGCGCGUAGGCCGUUGAGUUAGUUAAUUGUGAAAUCCCAAAGCUUAACUUUGGAACUGCAAUUAAAACUGCUCGACUAGAGUUUGAUAGAGGAAAGCGGAAUACAUAGUGUAGAGGUGAAAUUCGUAGAUAUUAUGUAGAACACCAGUUGCGAAGGCGGCUUUCUGGAUCAACACUGACGCUGAGGCGCGAAAGUAUGGGUAGCAAAGAGGAUUAGAUACCCUCGUAGUCCAUACCAUAAACGAUGAUUGCUAGAUGUUGGAAAUUUAUUUUCAGUAUCGCAGCUAACGCAUUAAGCAAUCCGCCUGGGGAGUACGACCGCAAG